Molecule: ribosomal RNA, 465 nt
Filed under: Vreelandella stevensii
Lineage: Bacteria; Pseudomonadati; Pseudomonadota; Gammaproteobacteria; Oceanospirillales; Halomonadaceae
Description: partial 16S ribosomal RNA
Rfam family: Bacterial small subunit ribosomal RNA
Source: RNAcentral
CCUACGGGGGGCAGCAGUGGGGAAUAUUGGACAAUGGGGGCCACCCUGAUCCAGCCAUGCCGCGUGUGUGAAGAAGGCCCUCGGGUUGUAAAGCACUUUCAGUGAGGAAGAACGCCUGGUGGUUAAUACCCAUCAGGAAAGACAUCACUCACAGAAGAAGCACCGGCUAACUCCGUGCCAGCAGCCGCGGUAAUACGGAGGGUGCGAGCGUUAAUCGGAAUUACUGGGCGUAAAGCGCGCGUAGGUGGCUUGAUAAGCCGGUUGUGAAAGCCCCGGGCUCAACCUGGGAACGGCAUCCGGAACUGUCAAGCUAGAGUGCAGGAGAGGAAGGUAGAAUUCCCGGUGUAGCGGUGAAAUGCGUAGAGAUCGGGAGGAAUACCAGUGGCGAAGGCGGCCUUCUGGACUGACACUGACACUGAGGUGCGAAAGCGUGGGUAGCAAACAGGAUUAGAUACCCUUGUAGUC